UGGGGAAUAUUGCACAAUGGCCGCAAGCCUGAUGCAGCCAUGCCGCGUGUGUGAAGAAGGCCUUCGGGUUGUAAAGCACUUUCAGCGAGGAGGAAGGGUAGUGUGUUAAUAGCACAUUGCAUUGACGUUACUCGCAGAAGAAGCACCGGCUAACUCCGUGCCAGCAGCCGCGGUAAUACGGAGGGUGCCAGCGUUAAUCGGAAUUACUGGGCGUAAAGCGCACGCAGGCGGUUUGUUAAGUCAGAUGUGAAAUCCCCGCGCUUAACGUGGGAACUGCAUUUGAAACUGGCAAGCUAGAGUCUUGUAGAGGGGGGUAGAAUUCCAGGUGUAGCGGUGAAAUGCGUAGAGAUCUGGAGGAAUACCGGUGGCGAAGGCGGCCCCCUGGACAAAGACUGACGCUCAGGUGCGAAAGCGUGGGGAGCAAACA
RNAcentral lists this ribosomal RNA (427 nucleotides) under uncultured bacterium. RNAcentral's name for it is "partial 16S ribosomal RNA". It matches the Rfam family "Bacterial small subunit ribosomal RNA", at positions 355 to 774 of the family's 1533-position model. The record is from RNAcentral.